Molecule: non-coding RNA, 75 nt
Organism: Tritrichomonas musculus
Lineage: Eukaryota; Parabasalia; Tritrichomonadida; Tritrichomonadidae
Source: the annotation of a GenBank genome assembly
GUCUAUGUGGCAUAGUGAUUAUUGCGUUUAACUCCGUACUUUGAAAGGGCGCUGGUUCAAAUCCACCAAUGGGCG